AAUCACCGCUAAAAACAAAUUGAAGGACAAAUAACAACGGCCUUAAUAAAAAAGCAGCCGAAAGCAAAGAGCCAUACCGUUUAAUCCCUCUCCACGUCUCUCCUUUUUCCUUUUUCCUCUCUUAAAUUCGCGCAAUCUCUAGAACCAGUCGUCGUCGUCAUCAACAACAACUCAAUAGAAAGAAAGAGAUAAAUAAAUCAGAAAUGGACAGCAACACCACCACCACCACCACCACCACAAAUCCUAAUAACAACAAUUGCAAUUUCAUGUCAUGUGAAAAGCUGGAUCGGGUCGCCAGUUGGGUUGGGGUCAACGUGGCGUCUGCUUUCUUUGCUUCUCUUGAAAGAUGCUCUUGCAUCAACCUUAACACCACCGAUCUUGAAGACGAUGAAGAAGCCAGGGACCGUCCUCUCAUGCUCACCAAGCCUUCGGCCCACGAUCACCACCUCGAUGCCCAGCCCACCAUCAAUAGCGAUGCCCCUAAGCUCUCCGUCUGAUCAUCAUGAUGAUCAAGAUGAUAAUUACCCAUCUUUUUUAGGGUUUGUUUCAUUUCUGUAGCACUUGGACAAAAUAGUUCUAUAUAAUAAUAAUAAUAAUAAUAAUAAUAAUAAGAAUACCCGUUACUCUUGCUGUUCUUUUCUUGUGUGUUUAGUGUUGUAUUUUGAUGUUCUAUCAAUCAAGCAAGAUGUUUCCUUUUUCUUUUGUUAAUCUUGCUAUGAUUAAGGUGUUCUUUAUUGUAAUUUGUGUGUUAUUGCAAAAUUGACCUUUAUUUUUACUGAUUGCGGUGUGGUUUUUAUGAUAUUCUCUCAGCUAGAACUCUCGAACCCUGUUCUUUAUUCGUUAUGAUCGUCAUUAUUCAUUGUCUAAAAAGGUUAUUCGUAGCUUGUAAUUGUAAAUGAUUGCAGUUGGAGAUUCUCUUAAUUCGAACGAAUCGUUUAAAGGAACCACCUUUAAGGACGGGUUUAGACUUUAGAUUUCUGGUGCUUGUUGCUUUCUCUCGGUAGGUAGUUGGUCUUCCUUUUACUUUCAUGCAGGUUAUUACUGAGUGUAGGUGAAUAUAGUAAAGGUGGAUCUUUCGAGGAAUCUAAUCCUCGUAUCUUCAGCAGUCUAAAUUAUGUGACUGCUUUUAACUUUUGAAACAUCUAUACCGCUACUGGGGACUUUUCGUUCUAUGAUCCUGUGAUAUCUCUGUUUUUAUACUGUCAUGUUGGCAUUGACUGGGAUGCAGAAUAAUAAUGAAUUGUGCUAUUGAUCGGAAGGGAGUUUUUGUUCUUGAUCACCACAGAUUAUUGUUUGCCAAAUUAUUUCAUGCAUUCUGAGGCCAUGCUUUUCCAAACUUAAUGAUUGAGGUUUUAGAUAGUAUUAAAUAUGGACAUUUUUCUCUGCAAAUAGCUAGUGCUUUCUUUUUAGAGUUGUCAACGUUGAAUCAUGACCUGAGCUUUAUACUAAAAGUAAGCGAUGCUAUUUGUCUAAUGCAGGGAUGGUGUUUUUGGACUGGGCUGAAGAGAUCAAACACUAAUUUUUCCUUGUUUGGAAUCUUAUAUUUCCUGCUAUUACAAACUUUUGAGCCGAUAAACGAAGAACAAUGCAGUUUAGCUAACCAUUCAGAGGAUUUUAUAAUAGAUACAUCUUACAGUAAACAACAAAAGCUAUAAAUUCAUCUUUGGUCAUUAAUCAUUGUUUCCCGUCGAUAUUCGUUGGAUACCUGGUCAAACACCAAGUACUGGGUUCCUUAUACCAGUCAACAGAAUCAGCAUACAAAAAAUAUAUCCGAUUGUGGAGUGAUGGGAUUGUUGGUAUCAAGCCAGCAAGACUACUAUGGUGGCACCGGAUCAUUUAUUUUGUGAAUGAGAAUGCUAUGUGUAAUUAUAUGCAUUUGCUAGGGAAUGGUCAUCCAGAUAAGGAAAAAAAUGAAAGAAAAAGUUGCAGCAUGGUUAAACAGCGUAUUGAUGAAAACUUAUUUAUACUGCAUGGGCGGCCAGAGUUGAAUUGUUUGCAGUGUGCAGCUCUAGAUAUCAAACACAAAUGGGUAGUCUGAUAAAGCUAUGGAAAGGCUCUUGCUUGGAACCUGAACUUUGCCUCGUCUUCUAAGUGAAAAAGCUAGACAUGCUUUGCCCAUGGCUGUCUCUGUUGCCCUGUAACAAAUUAGAUAAGCUAAGAACAAAUGGAAAAAAGUUUCAUCACCUUUGUCCCUCAGCUAUUAAAUAAUCCUUCAUCUGUAGCCGUAUAUACGGUUUGUUUCUUACAAAGAUGUAAGUUACAGGGGUUUUGUUGCAAA
Molecule: long non-coding RNA, 2278 nt
Organism: Populus nigra (black poplar)
Lineage: Eukaryota; Viridiplantae; Streptophyta; Magnoliopsida; Malpighiales; Salicaceae
Exons: 2
Source: RefSeq, a predicted model, not a curated record